RNA transcript from Rosa chinensis, 1621 nucleotides. RefSeq lists it as uncharacterized. The record is from RefSeq and is a predicted model, not a curated record. NCBI's taxonomy places the organism in Eukaryota, Viridiplantae, Streptophyta, Magnoliopsida, Rosales, Rosaceae. The transcript is spliced from 6 exons.
AGUACAACAUGAUAAAGAUUAAUCUUUUUGUUAAAUACCUAUGAUGAUUUGGGCUUUAGAGCAGGCCUUCAAUUUGAAGCUUGAUUUCAGUGAGACUGGGGAUGAUUUUGUUUUUUUUUCGAAGACUAAUGCUGGAAUGAUGCUCAGGUAUCUUGAACAAACAACUAAUGUUUUUGGUUCCUGGAAAUGCUUUAAGGAGAGUUACAUCUUACAACCUGGAUAUGGGCUUUUGAACAUCAAGCCUGAAGGUUUCUCAGGAAUUAAUGGUAGAAGACUCAUUGAGGCAGCCAAAAUGAGAGCUGGGAGUUACAGUGGAGAAAUAAAACGUGACUUAAGUGUGGCAAUAGCCCUUACCCGAUGACAGAAUUUCCAUCACCUGAAGCUUUUGUAACAUCAGAUUCCAGUGGGUUUGGACAAGGAACAGAUUUUUGGUAUGGAAGAAAAGGAGAUGGACUACAGGGUUGAGUUGUUCAACAAGUUUUAUGCAUUGUAUUUUAGUUGACGUCACAAACGAAUAAUGGGGUUUUUGCAAGUUAGUAUUUGAAUCCAAUUUCUUUUCUGUCUCAGCUCCAAUAGUUUGAGCAAUUAGUUCGGGUGCUUCUUUUCCAUGCACAUCUUCUUCCAUUCAUUAAUUUAUUUUGGCUUUUCACACCUGCUUCCUUCUAUUUCCAUUAGCUCUCAUACUUUAUUUGAUGAGCAUAUCUGAUCAUUGUACAGGACAACAUGGUUCAAUAAUACUUUCUGCACCUAUACUUCUAGCUGGUAUCGAUAAGAGUAAUACUGGCUUUUAUUCUGUGCAGAAAGGAAACCCCUCAUGAUUCUUAUAAUUUGGGCAAUCAUAUGCAUCAGUUCAAGGGAAGUAGCGCAAGCUUCACUGGCUUUUGUUUGAAUGUUAAUAAUCUAGGUGGAGAGAUUCCUCCUGAGGUCAGAAAGAUGGGCAGCUUGGAAGGUUAACUCUAUUUCUUUUUUUUCUUUUUUUCUUUUUUGUUGAUGAAUUUGAUUUUUGUACGCAUUUGAUUAGUUUGUUGUUGAUUGUGUUAAAAUGACUUUGAGUAUUUUUGUCUAGUUUAUAAGCUUUUGUUGUGAAAAGAUUUGAACUUUGUUUGUAAGAAGAAAAAGAGAGACUAUUGGCAAGUACUUUUCUGAGUCAUUUUGAUCAUUGUUGGUUUCUAACAGAUCUUUUCUGGCUAAGAACCCUGAUUUAACUGUAGGUGGGUAUAUUUGAUGCCGUAAACAGUACAAAGAAAAAUUUGGCUUAGGUACGGUGUUUAUGAUGGUUUUUGGGUGGUAUGUUCUGUUUUGAAUGCAAACUUUGAAAUCGGCGUGGUUUCUGUACCAUAAGAUUGCCACCUUGCUGACUUGAUUAUGUGCCAAAGUGGAGAGGACAAGAAAGCUAAAUUGAAAAUAAAGGUUGCAGAAGAAAUGCAGACAGAGAAAAAAGGGAAAAUUAUUGCUGCUAUUCUUCAUUUAGAGGCUCCCAGCUUCUGUAUCUUUGGGAAGUUCCUUGGUUUCUGAUUUGUAUCUUUGUACUUAUUGUUUUAGUAGUGUACUGUUUUGAAUAAAAUUUUGAUAUACAUCAGAAAGAGAGAGGAAAAGCCUUCUGAUGGUCAUUGGUUGCUCA